RNAcentral lists this ribosomal RNA (442 nucleotides) under uncultured bacterium. Its description in RNAcentral is "partial 16S ribosomal RNA". It matches the Rfam family "Bacterial small subunit ribosomal RNA", at positions 338 to 795 of the family's 1533-position model. The record is from RNAcentral.
CCUACGGGAGGCAGCAGUGGGGAAUAUUGGGCAAUGGACGAAAGUCUGAACCAGCAACGCCGCGUGAAGGAAGACGGCUUUCGGGUUGUAAACUUCUUUUAGGGGGGAAGCGAAGAAGUCGGUAUCCCUUGAAUAAGCCACGGCUAACAACGUGACAGCAGCCGCGGUAAUACGUAGGUGGCAAGCGAUGUCCGGAUUUACUGGGGGUAUAGGGCGUGAAGCGGGGAAGACAAGGCAGAUGGGAAAUCCCGAGGCUUAAACGCGGUACUGCGGUUGAAACUGUUUUUCUUGAGUAGCGGAGAAGUAAUCGGAAUGCCUGGUGUAGCGGUGAAAUGCGUAGAUAUUAGGCAGAACUCCAGUGGCGAAGGCGGAUUACUGGACGACAACUGACGGUGAGGCGCGAAAGCGUGGGUAGCGAACAGGAUUAGAUACCCUAGUAGUC